UACGUAGGUGGCAAGCGUUGUCCGGAAUUACUGGGUGUAAAGCGCGUGUAGGCGGCAGGCCAAGUCUGCGGUGAAAGCGCCCGGCUCAACUGGGCGAGGUCCGUGGAAACUGGUCAGCUGGAGGACGGUAGAGGCGAGUGGAAUUUCCGGUGUAGCGGUGAAAUGCGUAGAUAUCGGAAGGAACACCAGUGGCGAAAGCGGCUUCCUGGUCCAGCACCGACGUCAGGCACGAAAGCGUGGGGAGCAAACAGG
Molecule: ribosomal RNA, 252 nt
Filed under: uncultured bacterium
Lineage: Bacteria
Description: partial 16S ribosomal RNA
Rfam family: Bacterial small subunit ribosomal RNA
Source: RNAcentral